RNAcentral lists this ribosomal RNA (253 nucleotides) under uncultured prokaryote. RNAcentral's name for it is "partial 16S ribosomal RNA". It matches the Rfam family "Bacterial small subunit ribosomal RNA", at positions 525 to 777 of the family's 1533-position model. The record is from RNAcentral.
ACGAAGGUGGCAAGCGUUGUUCGGAUUUACUGGGCGUAAAGGGAGCGUAGGUGGUGGGGUAAGCCCCGCGGGAAAGCUCCAGGCUUAACCUGGAAAGGUCGCGGGGGACUGCUCCGCUCGAGGACGGGAGAGGAGCGCGGAAUUCCCGGUGUAGCGGUGAAAUGCGUAGAUAUCCGAAGGAACAUCAGUGGCGAAAGCGGCUUCCUGGACCAGAACUGACGAUCAGGCACGAAAGCGUGGGGAGCAAACAGGA